CCUACGGGUGGCAGCAGUGAGGAAUAUUGGUCAAUGGGCGAGAGCCUGAACCAGCCAAGUCGCGUGAAGGAUGACGGCCCUACGGGUUGUAAACUUCUUUUGUCAGGGAGCAAUUGAGUCCACGUGUGGGCUUAGCGAGAGUACCUGAAGAAAAAGCAUCGGCUAACUCCGUGCCAGCAGCCGCGGUAAUACGUAGGGGGCAAGCGUUAUCCGGAUUUACUGGGUGUAAAGGGAGCGUAGACGGUUAUGCAAGUCUGCAGUGAAAGCCCAAGGCUCAACCAUGGGACUGCUUUGGAAACUGUAAAACUGGAGUGCAGGAGAGGUAAGCGGAAUUCCUAGUGUAGCGGUGAAAUGCGUAGAUAUUAGGAGGAACACCAGUGGCGAAGGCGGCUUACUGGACUGUAACUGACGUUGAGGCUCGAAGGCGUGGGGAGCAAACAGGAUUAGAUACCCCAGUAGUC
This 461-nucleotide ribosomal RNA is filed under the name uncultured bacterium. Its description in RNAcentral is "partial 16S ribosomal RNA". It matches the Rfam family "Bacterial small subunit ribosomal RNA", at positions 338 to 795 of the family's 1533-position model. The record is from RNAcentral.